CGCGGCCUAUCAGCUUGUUGGUGAGGUAAUGGCUCACCAAGGCGACGACGGGUAGCCGGCCUGAGAGGGUGACCGGCCACACUGGGACUGAGACACGGCCCAGACUCCUACGGGAGGCAGCAGUGGGGAAUAUUGCACAAUGGGCGCAAGCCUGGUGCAGCAACGCCGCGUGAGGGAUGACGGCCUUCGGGUUGUAAACCUCUUUUAGUAGGGAAGAAGCGCAAGUGACGGUACCUGCAGAAAAAGCACCGGCUAACUACGUGCCAGCAGCCGCGGUAAUACGUAGGGUGCAAGCGUUGUCCGGAAUUAUUGGGCGUAAAGAGCUCGUAGGCGGCUUGUCGCGUCUGCUGUGAAAACCCGAGGCUCAACCUCGGGCUUGCAGUGGGUACGGGCAGGCUAGAGUGCGGUAGGGGAGAUUGGAAUUCCUGGUGUAGCGGUGGAAUGCGCAGAUAUCAGGAGGAACACCAAUGGCGAAGGCAGAUCUCUGGGCCGUAACUGACGCUGAGGAGCGAAAGCAUGGGGAGCGAACAGGAUUAGAUACCCUGGUAGUCCAUGCCGUAAACGUUGGGAACUAGAUGUAGGGCCUGUUCCACGGGUUCUGUGUCGUAGCUAACGCAUUAAGUUCCCCGCCUGGGGAGUACGG
RNAcentral lists this ribosomal RNA (643 nucleotides) under uncultured bacterium. RNAcentral describes it as "bacterial SSU rRNA". It matches the Rfam family "Bacterial small subunit ribosomal RNA", at positions 232 to 885 of the family's 1533-position model. The record is from RNAcentral.